GGAAGUACCUGUGGCUGAAUGGUAGAGCAUCUGCUUGGCAUGCAGAAGGUCCCAGGUUAAAUUCCUGGCAUCUCCA
Molecule: transfer RNA, 76 nt
Filed under: Sphaerodactylus townsendi
Lineage: Eukaryota; Metazoa; Chordata; Lepidosauria; Squamata; Sphaerodactylidae
Description: tRNA-Ala
Rfam family: tRNA
About the family: Transfer RNA (tRNA) molecules are approximately 80 nucleotides in length. Their secondary structure includes four short double-helical elements and three loops (D, anti-codon, and T loops).
Source: RNAcentral